AUUUAACUUCAGUCUCUUCAGUAUGUUUAUAAUCUUAGCCAUUAGUCACACGAGAAAUAGAAGAGCAAACAGUUUAGGAUAGAAGUUAGCAGGUAGCUGGCAAUGAUGUGAAAUAACUGGCAGCAUAGUACAGGUACAUAAGUUCUAUGUUUUGUUUCUGGAUUUUGUGAAAAUGUUUACAAAUUAAGUCAUAUUCAGAUGUCUGCUAUUAUGCUCUUCUGUUUAAUACAGAUUUUUACACCCAAAAUGAGAAUUAGGCAUAGCUUAAAGUAUAAAUGAGUCUUUUUUUCAGAAUUGUGUAUCUGAAGGUAGGUUUAGUAAAGAAAGUCUUCUGUUUUCAAAGAAAAUGAACUUAAUUGGACAGUCCAUCCCCAACUACAGAAUUCAUAUCAAUCUGGUUUGCUGUAUUUGAGUGUCAAAAGUGUAGUGUUAAUGAUAUCAGAGGAAAUUGUUCACACCUUCAUAAACUACAAAAGUUACCAAAGAAAAUGAAUCAACCAAAUAUAAAAUUUGAAGUACCUAACUGUUAAGGAAUGAGGCCCCUUCUAACAUGAAAGAUUGAUUUCUAGCCCUGGAGGAAAUAUUCUUCCAUAUGGAACAGAUAUACAGAACCUACAAGAUUCCAUUUGAGGUUUUCUUAUCAUGUUGGUAAAAUGUCAACAUUUAUACUUCCAGCAAAAGUACCAGUUAAGGGUCAAGUCCAAAUAUUAUUUCUUAUGGCAAAUUUUCAUGUCUCCUUAAUUCAAAUUAAGGAUUUUGCUCAUCAGUAUUAAAUAAAAGGGGGAGAGAAAAGAAUUCCUGUAAUUGGUAUACUGUAUAAUAUUGUGACUUCCUAAAAAAAUUGAGGGUGAAUUAUAGAAAUGUGUAUUUUAAGUGAGCAAUGUCAGUUAUUUCUAGUAAGUAUGAUAUUGGCUAAAACUAUGUUUGUUUACAUAAUUUAUGUACUCGAUCACUCUGGGUAUUUUUUUUCUUCGCAGAAAAACACGAUUGGGUUAAGAAAAGUUAAAACACUUAUUUUUAAAAUAGUUCAGUAAGCACUAAAGAAUUUACUUAAACUGUUAAAUAAUGAUUUGGGGGGAUAUGAAUUUAUAUAUUACCUGAUGUCCCAAACAGGCUCUAUGUAUUAUUUUUUUUAUAUCAGAUAGAAGUUAAAAAGUAAUGGAUGUGUUGAUCUGCUAUCUUAGAAAAGAUUGGCUUUCUAACAAUUAUGAACGUCGGUUUUUAUGUUUUUUUUAAGUUUUAUCAUCCAAACUGAACUGAGACAUAUACUAAAUGUUCUUUGUGUUGUUUUAAAAUAUUUGUAAGAAGUUCAUUAACUGCUUUACAGUGGUUACAGUGGUGGUUUUUUGAUUCUUAUUCUAAAACUUAUACUGGCUUUACAUUCAGUUUAACUGGUUAAGUGAAACAGUUUUUAUGGUGCAAAGAUAAUUUUCCCACUUUGUCAUCAUAAUUUGACUCUCCUGACCUAUAGUUUCUAAAGAGUUUUUUACUACUGUAACAUCAUGUAUCUGAUCUCUGUCACAAUGGACAAGUAUACAGGAAAUAUCCAACUUUCAUAUGUUUGCUUCAAAAAGGUUACAGGUUGAAUAGGUCAGCUCUUAUGUUUUUGUUUCUUAACCAGCAUCAACCUAUAUAGCUUGGUGUAAACUUGCCAAGUAUUCAGAGAAUAGUGCUGGUUAAAAUUUAAAUAUGAUAGUCAGGAAGAAAAUAUGAUCUCUAUUGACUGAUGUCCUUUCAAACUAGGACUAGUGAAAACAUUUUUUUCAGAGCUGAAGAAGAAAUGCACAUUUAAGAUCAUAUUUAUUGGUGCAUGUAAGCCAUUAUCUUAACUGUCUUACUGAACUAGUUAAUGCUGUUGAUUGUUGAAAUGUGAAAUGUAGUCACUGUUGACCUUGUAAAUAUCUGCCAGAGAUGAAAAAAUAUUUUAAAUUAUAAAUAAAGAUGUAUAAAAUUCAUUAUCAGUCUGCAAUGCAGAAACAUAUCUAAGAUGUUAAAUAUUGUGUUUCUUGAGAAAUGUGUAAUUUUUCCCUAGAUGUAUCUAGUUACAUUAAGGAUGUAAAUUUUCUUUUGUACAGUAUAAAAUACAGCUUUAUUUGGCUUUUGA
RNAcentral lists this long non-coding RNA (2104 nucleotides) under Bos taurus (domestic cattle). Its description in RNAcentral is "long non-coding RNA NONBTAT011438". The record is from RNAcentral. Lineage: Eukaryota; Metazoa; Chordata; Mammalia; Artiodactyla; Bovidae.